AUAAAAGCCAAUAUGGGUAUGAAAAAGAUGAAGUGCUGUCAAGAAUAGCAACUUUCAAGUAUCAGUGACAGCCACAAACAUUUGUUCAGAGGAAAUACAAAAUGAAUAUGCAGUAUCUGGUGUGGAGUCAGCGAAGCAGAAAGAAUAAGGAUUGCUAAACAAACUAACAUAAAAAAAUCAUGUCAUUUGGAUUGGUCCACCAGCUCCACAGUGAGGUUUUCAUGCAUCAGCCUCCUUGGCUGGAACCCUGCCUCCCCAUCCCAUUGCCAGAGAAUUAUGAUGAUGACUGGCUGCGCUUCAGCGGGUUAUUUGUCCAAUACUGCAUGUUAUUUGUAGCCAACCUGAGCGCUAAU
Molecule: long non-coding RNA, 353 nt
Organism: Alligator sinensis (Chinese alligator)
Lineage: Eukaryota; Metazoa; Chordata; Crocodylia; Alligatoridae
Exons: 3
Source: RefSeq, a predicted model, not a curated record